RNAcentral lists this ribosomal RNA (335 nucleotides) under Raorchestes akroparallagi (variable bush frog). RNAcentral's name for it is "partial 12S ribosomal RNA". It matches the Rfam family "Bacterial small subunit ribosomal RNA", at positions 882 to 1391 of the family's 1533-position model. The record is from RNAcentral. Lineage: Eukaryota; Metazoa; Chordata; Amphibia; Anura; Rhacophoridae.
ACGAGCUCCAGCUUAAAACUCAAAGGACUUGACGGUAUCCUAACCGACUAGAGGAGCCUGUUCUAUAAUCGAUAAUCCACGAUAUACCUAACCACUUCUUGCUAUCAGCCUGUAUACCUCCGUCGUAAGCUUACCAUUUGAAUGCAUUAGUGGGCUUAAGGACUCAACGCCAAAACGUCAGGUCAAGGUGCAGCCUAUGAAGUGGAAGCAAUGAGCUACAAUUUCUAAAUUAGAACAAACAAAACACUACAUGAAACAUAGCCACAAGGAGGAUCUAGUAGUAAAUAAGAAAUAGAGAGCCUUAUUAAAUUUUGGCCAUAGGAUGUGUACACACC